UGGCCUAUUCCUAUUUACGACCUCUUUCUG
RNAcentral lists this non-coding RNA (30 nucleotides) under Mus musculus (house mouse). The record is from RNAcentral. Lineage: Eukaryota; Metazoa; Chordata; Mammalia; Rodentia; Muridae.